This 492-nucleotide ribosomal RNA is filed under the name uncultured bacterium. RNAcentral describes it as "partial 16S ribosomal RNA". It matches the Rfam family "Bacterial small subunit ribosomal RNA", at positions 29 to 507 of the family's 1533-position model. The record is from RNAcentral.
AGUGAACGCUGGCGGUAGGCCUAACACAUGCAAGUCGAACGGCAGCACAGUAAGAGCUUGCUCUUACGGGUGGCGAGUGGCGGACGGGUGAGGAAUAAAUCGGAAUCUACUUUUUCGUGGGGGAUAACGUAGGGAAACUUACGCUAAUACCGCAUACGACCUACGGGUGAAAGCAGGGGAUCUUCGGACCUUGCGCGAUUGAAUGAGCCGAUGUCGGAUUAGCUAGUUGGCGGGGUAAAGGCCCACCAAGGCGACGAUCCGUAGCUGGUCUGAGAGGAGGAUCAGCCACACUGGAACUGAGACACGGUCCAGACUCCUACGGGAGGCAGCAGUAGGGAAUAUUGGACAAUGGGCGCAAGCCUGAUCCAGCCAUACCGCGUGGGUGAAGAAGGCCUUCGGGUUGUAAAGCCCUUUUGUUGGGAAAGAAAAGCAGCAGGUUAAUACCCCGCUGUUCUGACGGUACCCAAAGAAUAAGCACCGGCUAACUUCGUG